This 269-nucleotide ribosomal RNA is filed under the name uncultured prokaryote. RNAcentral describes it as "partial 16S ribosomal RNA". It matches the Rfam family "Bacterial small subunit ribosomal RNA", at positions 524 to 792 of the family's 1533-position model. The record is from RNAcentral.
UACGUAAGGGGCAAGCGUUGUUCGGAAUUAUUGGGCGUAAAGGGCGUGUAGGCGGUUACGCAAGUCUGGUGUGAAAUACCUCGGCUCAACCGAGGGGAUGCGCUGGAAACUGUGUGACUAGAGUGAUGGAGGGGGAACUGGAAUUCCUGGUGUAGGGGUGAAAUCUGUAGAUAUCAGGAAGAACACCGGUGGCGAAGGCGAGUUCCUGGCCAUAUACUGACGCUGAGGCGCGAAAGCGUGGGGAGCGAACAGGAUUAGAUACCCCCGUA